GAGGGGGUGGAGGAUUUCCCUCAGCCUGGAUUGUGAGAGGGCGCAGGCCAGGCUGAGGGACCCCACUGGUGCAAG
Molecule: microRNA precursor, 75 nt
Filed under: Myotis lucifugus (little brown bat)
Lineage: Eukaryota; Metazoa; Chordata; Mammalia; Chiroptera; Vespertilionidae
Description: mir-9193 microRNA precursor family
Rfam family: mir-9193 microRNA precursor family
Source: Rfam by way of RNAcentral